This is a long non-coding RNA of Sebastes umbrosus (honeycomb rockfish), 359 nucleotides long. RefSeq lists it as uncharacterized. The record is from RefSeq and is a predicted model, not a curated record. Lineage: Eukaryota; Metazoa; Chordata; Actinopteri; Perciformes; Sebastidae. The transcript has 3 exons.
AUAUUGUUUAAUAUAACCGUGCAUUCCAAUACCCAUACUACCAUACUGUUUAGUAUGAAAGAAAAAGAUUUAGUAUGACCCAAUACAUAGUAUGUCAAAUGCAGUAUGCCAAAAAUACCAGUAUGUCCUACUGCAUCUGGUCGUAUUUUGCAGUACGCAAGCCAGCAUGCUUUUCUGGCUAUUCUGAGCCACAAUCCUCUAACAGAUAUAUGAGCAAGAUGGUAAAAGUUCAAGGCGCCAUGUUAUGUUCAAGUAGUAUGUCCUGAUUGUAUGCAUACUGCAUGCAACAGUACGUACUUUGUAAGGGCAGCUGCAGUAUGUAGCCUACUAGAAGUAAAAAGAAAAAGUACGCGAUUUGG